GCCCCUUUGCCUUUCCCUUCGAAAUACAUCAGUGGCGUUGCGAAUGGAGGCCAGUAUGCAUGGGCGACUGCUGGUCUUCCAUGAACAACCUUGCCAGGACUUGUACCUCAGAGGGUAAUUUUCUAGGUACAAUCCCAUGGUCAAUGUCGUGAUCGAAGGGAGUCCCAGAUGGUAAUAAAAGGGUUAAAGAUAUUUUAUAUCAAAGAAUCAGGGUGGUCUCAGACAGGCAGGUAUUAAACCAUUUGUUAGUAAAUUUUUGUUGAAUUACACAUCAAUUCGAUUAAUUUAA
This is a long non-coding RNA of Octopus sinensis (East Asian common octopus), 289 nucleotides long. RefSeq lists it as uncharacterized. The record is from RefSeq and is a predicted model, not a curated record. Lineage: Eukaryota; Metazoa; Mollusca; Cephalopoda; Octopoda; Octopodidae. The transcript is spliced from 2 exons.